CAGUCGCCGCGGGAAUACGGAGGGUGCAAGCGUUAUCCGGAUUCACUGGGUUUAAAGGGUGCGUAGGCGGAUCUGUAAGUCAGUGGUGAAAUCUCCAGGCUUAACCUGGAAACUGCCGUUGAUACUAUAGGUCUUGAAUUUUGUGGAGGUUAGCGGAAUAUGUCAUGUAGCGGUGAAAUGCAUAGAUAUGACAUAGAACACCAAUUGCGAAGGCAGCUGGCUACACAACUAUUGACGCUGAGGCACGAAAGCGUGGGGAUCAAACAGGAUUAGAUACCCCCGUAGUCCCUGUCUCUUAUAC
This 301-nucleotide ribosomal RNA is filed under the name uncultured bacterium. Its description in RNAcentral is "partial 16S ribosomal RNA". It matches the Rfam family "Bacterial small subunit ribosomal RNA", at positions 509 to 807 of the family's 1533-position model. The record is from RNAcentral.